CUUGGUCAUUUAGAGGGAGUAAAAGUCGUAACAAGGUCUCCGUUGGUGAACCAGCGGAGGGAUCAUUACAGGAAGCCGAAAGGCAACUUCAAACCAUYGCGAACGUAUYCAAGUUGCUUYGGCGGSGCGGGRCCCCUCGGGGGRCCSCMGCCCMCSCCCUYCGGGGCGAGGGGCGCCCGCCGGAGGUUMCAAACUCUYGKGUAUUACAGKGGSGUYUYUGAGUAAAAAAAAAAAAGAAAUAAGUCAAAACUUUCAACAACGGAUCUCUUGGUUCUGGCAUCGAUGAAGAACGCAGCGAAAUGCGAUAAGUAAUGUGAAUUGCAGAAUUCAGUGAAUCAUCGAAUCUUUGAACGCACAUUGCGCCCGCUAGUACUCUAGCGGGCAUGCCUGUUCGAGCGUCAUUUCAACCCUCAAGCCCGGCUUGGUGUUGGGGCCCUACGGCUGCCGUAGGCCCUAAAAGGAAGUGGCGGGCUCGCUACAACUCCGAGCGUAGUAAUUCGUUUUCUCGCUAUGGACGUUGCGGCGGUGCUCCUGCCGUUAAAGACCCAUCUUUAACCAAAGGUUGACCUCGGAUCAGGUAGGAAUACCCGCUGAACUUAAGCAUAUCAAUAAGCGGAGGA
RNAcentral lists this ribosomal RNA (620 nucleotides) under uncultured fungus. RNAcentral describes it as "eukaryotic LSU rRNA". The stretch from base 248 to 401 matches the Rfam family "5.8S ribosomal RNA". The record is from RNAcentral. Lineage: Eukaryota; Fungi.